AAACUUCCCGCUUGCGGGAGGGAGUAAAGUGUCGCACGGGUGAGUAACGCGUGGGUAACCUGCCCUUGAAUCUGGGAUAACUCUGCGAAAGCGGUGCUAAUACCGGAUUAUGGUUUUCGAAGACUUCGGUUUUCGGUAUUAAAGGUGACCUCUUCAUGAAAGUUGCCGUUUAAGGAUGGGCCCGCGUACCAUUAGCUUGUUGGUAGGGUAAUGGCCUACCAAGGCUGCGAUGGUUAGCUGGUCUGAGAGGAUGAUCAGCCACACUGGAACUGAAACACGGUCCAGACUCC
This 290-nucleotide ribosomal RNA is filed under the name unidentified marine bacterioplankton. Its description in RNAcentral is "partial 16S ribosomal RNA". It matches the Rfam family "Bacterial small subunit ribosomal RNA", at positions 69 to 339 of the family's 1533-position model. RNAcentral also lists the same sequence under 1 other name. The record is from RNAcentral.